UCGGCUUAGAGUUUGAUCAUGGCUCAGGACGAACGCUGGCGGCGUGCUUAACACAUGCAAGUCGAACGGAAAAGACUUCGGUCAGGUUAGUGGCGGACGGGUGAGUAACGCGUGAGGAACCUGCCUUUGAGAGGGGAAUAACAACGAGAAAUCGUUGCUAAUACCGCAUAAGACCACAUCGCAUGAUCAGAGGUCAAAGAUUUAUCGCUCAAAGAUGGCCUCGCGUCCCAUUAGCUAGUUGGUGAGGUAACGGCCCACCAAGGCGACGAUGGGUAGCCGAGCUGAGAGGCUGAUCGGCCACACUGGGACUGAGACACGGCCCAGACUCCUACGGGAGGCAGCAGUGGGGAAUAUUGGGCAAUGGGCGCAAGCCUGACCCAGCAACGCCGCGUGAAGGAAGAAGGUUUUCGGAUUGUAAACUUCUGUUGUGAGGGACGAAAAAAAUGACGGUACCUCAUGAGGAAGCCCCGGCUAACUACGUGCCAGCAGCCGCGGUAAUACGUAGGGGGCAAGCGUUGUCCGGAAUCACUGGGCGUAAAGGGAGCGUAGGCGGCUUAUUAAGUCAGAUGUGAAAUCCCCCGGCUUAACCUGGGACCUGCAUCUGAACUGGUGAGCUUGAGUGCCGAGAGGCAAGUGGAAUUCCUAGUGUAGCGGUGGAAUGCGU
Molecule: ribosomal RNA, 664 nt
Filed under: uncultured Eubacteriales bacterium
Lineage: Bacteria; Bacillati; Bacillota; Clostridia; Eubacteriales
Description: bacterial SSU rRNA
Rfam family: Bacterial small subunit ribosomal RNA
Source: RNAcentral